CCCGGCCCUGAUCGAAGCUGCAUUGAGCUGGUCCUGUAGCUCAUGUGGUCAAAACAGGAGCCCAGAGUGAACCUGUUUCCAUUGACGGUCGCUGCUCAGUUUUACUGCUGUAUCUGAUUUAGCAACAUUUCUAUGGAGCACAAUG
Small nucleolar RNA from Rhincodon typus (whale shark), 145 nucleotides. NCBI's taxonomy places the organism in Eukaryota, Metazoa, Chordata, Chondrichthyes, Orectolobiformes, Rhincodontidae. The record is from RefSeq and is a predicted model, not a curated record.